GCAAAAGAGUGGGAAGAUCUUUGAGUAGAGGUGACAGACCUACCGAGCUCAGUUAUAGCUGGUUGCCUACAAAAGGAAUAGAAGUUCAGCCUUUACACUUCUUCUCUCAAAACUGCAUAUACUGAUAAGUGACACAAAGAAGUUAAAAGAGUUAUUCAAGGGGGGAACAGCCCCCUUGAAAAAAGAUACAACUUUAUUUAGAAGGCUAAAGAUUAAAAUAUCCCAGGCAAACAUACCUUGGUGGGCCUAAAAGCAGCCAUCCAUAUAGAAAGCGUUAAAGCUCAAGUACUUUGCCCCUCCCUAAUUUCAAUAAUUCAAUCUUAAGCCCCUUAAUUAGUAGUAGGCCUUUUCAUGCACCCAUGAAAGAGAUACUGCUGAGAUGAGUAAUAAGAGGACCGCUCCUCUCCCUGACACUUGUAUAAUUCAGAACGAACCCCCACUGAAAAUUAACGCCCCCAACUAGAAGAGGGGCCUGGGACAGCCCAAAAUAAACUAGAAGCUCACCCAACAAUUUAGCGUUAACCCUACACAGGUGUGUUUUAAGGAAAGACUAAAAGAAAAAGAAGGAACUCGGCAAACACUGGCCUCGCCUGUUUACCAAAAACAUCGCCUCUUGCAACAAACGUAUAAGAGGUCCCGCCUGCCCUGUGACUUACUAGUUUAACGGCCGCGGUAUUUUGACCGUGCGAAGGUAGCGUAAUCACUUGUCUUUUAAAUGGAGACCUGUAUGAAUGGCACAACGAGGGCUAAGCUGUCUCCUUUUUCCAGUCAAUGAAAUUGAUUUUCCCGUGCAGAAGCGGGAAUAUAACCAUAAGACGAGAAGACCCUAUGGAGCUUAAGACACAAGGCAGCCCAUGUAAAACACCUGGCUCAACAGAAUUAACCAAGUGGCCCCUGCCCUUUUGUUUUUGGUUGGGGCGACCGCGGGGAAACAAAAAUCCCCCACGUGGAAUGGGGCCAACCCCCCUGAAGCCAGAGCCACAGCUCUAGCUAGCAGAAUAUCUGACCUACAAGAUCCGGCAAAGCCGAUCAACGGACCGAGUUACCCUAGGGAUAACAGCGCAAUCCCCUUUUAGAGCCCAUAUCGACAAGGGGGUUUACGACCUCGAUGUUGGAUCAGGACAUCCUAAUGGUGCAGCCGCUA
This 1144-nucleotide ribosomal RNA is filed under the name Gymnogobius petschiliensis. RNAcentral's name for it is "partial 16S ribosomal RNA". It matches the Rfam family "Bacterial large subunit ribosomal RNA", at positions 791 to 2564 of the family's 2925-position model. Lineage: Eukaryota; Metazoa; Chordata; Actinopteri; Gobiiformes; Gobiidae. The record is from RNAcentral.